This 242-nucleotide unclassified non-coding RNA is filed under the name Scytalidium sp. Its description in RNAcentral is "partial contains 5.8S ribosomal RNA, internal transcribed spacer 2, and large subunit ribosomal RNA". The stretch from base 1 to 52 matches the Rfam family "5.8S ribosomal RNA", at positions 103 to 154 of the family's 154-position model. Lineage: Eukaryota; Fungi; Ascomycota; Leotiomycetes. The record is from RNAcentral.
AACGCACAUUGCGCCCCUUGGUAUUCCGAGGGGCAUGCCUGUUCGAGCGUCAUUUCAACCCUCAAGCUCUGCUUGGUAUUGGGCCCUGCCGCUGGGCAGGCCUUAAAAUCAGUGGCGGUGCCGUCGCGGCUCCAAGCGUAGUACAUCUCUCGCUCUGGAGGCCCGGUGGUGUCUUGCCAGACAACCCCCAAUUGUCUUCUAUGGUUGACCUCGGAUCAGGUAGGGAUACCCGCUGAACUUAA